Non-coding RNA from Cinara cedri, 223 nucleotides. The record is from the annotation of a GenBank genome assembly. NCBI's taxonomy places the organism in Eukaryota, Metazoa, Arthropoda, Insecta, Hemiptera, Aphididae.
AAGACCAAGCAAUCAUUUGAAACACAGUUGAGGGGAUUCCUUAAGUCAAAUACAUUAAAGUAUUAAGCACAUUAACCCAGCCCUUCAAACAUCAAGUUUGCUUCCAUCAAUAAUAUCAUCAAUAUCAAUCAUAUCAAAUAAUCAUUUCUGUGUAAACUAGGUUUACUUCGCUAAAAGACCCAUUGUGGAAGAUAUUGUAAAUCGAAGCCCUUCAAUCAAUGUA